UGCUGGAUUCAUGUCCUCAGAUCGUGGUCAUGUCCUCCUUCCACCCUCCUACCUCGUUCAAAACAGAUAUGCGCCACACACCAGCGGUUCCUGUUCCAGAAGAUAUUUUGAAUGCUAAGAUUAGCGAUGCUCAAAACCAGUUCUUGUCCUGUCUAGUGUGCUAGUAUCUAUUCAGUAACCAGAAGAAUUAUAGUGUUACUGAACCGUAGUUGCCUUCUUGUUCUCUAUGUCACCGUGCGAUAUGCUGUAUUGUGCCUAUGGAUACUGUACUAUAGGAUGCUUACAAUUUCAUGUGGCUUUGAGAUGUGGCACAUGACCCCUUUGUUUUUCCUUAUUGAAAGACUAGAAAACAUAGUGUCUCAUCGCGAAGAAACUGAAAACACGUGGUAGAAAAAGGAAAAGACCGAGGAACAAAGUCAUGGAAACGAGAAAGGACACACAUAUGACACGUAUAUGCUUAUCUACUCCAGAUGUUUAAGGAUCUUGAUGCUCUUCUAGGCUGGACAAGAUGCGCUACGGAGGACGGAGGUCGGGGCUUGGAUACAUGCAAUCGUGCGUCCGGGUCCUACGUGAUAUAUUGCCAUGCAUGUUGCAUGCAUCGG
This 602-nucleotide long non-coding RNA is filed under the name Zea mays. RNAcentral describes it as "long non-coding RNA (ZMAY_LNC001402)". Lineage: Eukaryota; Viridiplantae; Streptophyta; Magnoliopsida; Poales; Poaceae. The record is from RNAcentral.